This is a small nuclear RNA of Dipodomys ordii (Ord's kangaroo rat), 107 nucleotides long. The record is from Ensembl. NCBI's taxonomy places the organism in Eukaryota, Metazoa, Chordata, Mammalia, Rodentia, Heteromyidae.
GUGCUCGCUUCGGCAGCACAUAUACUUAAACUGGAACGAUGAAGAGAAGAUUAGCAUGGCCCCUGCACAAGGGUAACAGGCAAAUUCUUGAAACAUUCCAUAUUUUU